GAUACAAUUUUGGCUAAUAAAAUCUUUCUCAAGAGAAGUAGGAUUUGGUUAGAUCAUGAUCUUAUACCUCUACAAGUGAAGCAAUGCGAAAAUAGUUAUAUGUGAGUGCAGAUACGAUUUGGAAAAUUGUUGACAUCAUCAACAUUGUGGAGACGCGGGAACACGGGAACAACACUUGUAGAGGUGUAAUAUCAGGAUCUAACCAAAUCUUACGUCCCUUGAGAAUGGCUUUAUUAGCUAAAGCCGUAUC
Molecule: non-coding RNA, 250 nt
Organism: Marchantia polymorpha subsp. ruderalis
Lineage: Eukaryota; Viridiplantae; Streptophyta; Marchantiopsida; Marchantiales; Marchantiaceae
Source: the annotation of a GenBank genome assembly